This 454-nucleotide ribosomal RNA is filed under the name uncultured bacterium. RNAcentral describes it as "partial 16S ribosomal RNA". It matches the Rfam family "Bacterial small subunit ribosomal RNA", at positions 28 to 507 of the family's 1533-position model. The record is from RNAcentral.
GAUGAACGCUGACAGAAUGCUUAACACAUGCAAGUCUACUUGAACUUCGGUUUGGGUGGCGGACGGGUGAGUAACGCGUAAAGAACUUGCCUCACAGUUAGGGACAACAUUUGGAAACGAAUGCUAAUACCUGAUAUUAUGAUUUUAGGGCAUCCUAGGAUUAUGAAAGCUAUAUGUGCUGUGAGAGAGCUUUGCGUCCCAUUAGCUAGUUGGAGAGGUAACGGCUCACCAAGGCGAUGAUGGGUAGCCGGCCUGAGAGGGUGAACGGCCACAAGGGGACUGAGACACGGCCCUUACUCCUGCGGGAGGCAGCAGUGGGGAAUAUUGGACAAUGGACCAAAAGUCUGAUCCAGCAAUUCUGUGUGCACGAUGACGUUUUUCGGAAUGUAAAGUGCUUUCAGUUGGGAAGAAAAAAAUGACGGUACCAACAGAAGAAGUGACGGCUAAAUACGUG